RNAcentral lists this unclassified non-coding RNA (146 nucleotides) under uncultured Venturiaceae. Its description in RNAcentral is "sequence contains ITS2". The record is from RNAcentral. Lineage: Eukaryota; Fungi; Ascomycota; Dothideomycetes; Venturiales; Venturiaceae.
UCACCAUCGAGCCCUGCUCGGAGAUGGGCUUCGUCCUCGCGGACGGGCCCGAAACUCGUGGGCGCCUUUGUCCGGCCCUGAGCGUAGCAAGAGAAAUCCCUCGCUCGGUGGACCCGUAUGGCGGCCGCCCCGAUUAUUUUUUAUAA